Long non-coding RNA from Capra hircus (goat), 1495 nucleotides. RefSeq lists it as uncharacterized. NCBI's taxonomy places the organism in Eukaryota, Metazoa, Chordata, Mammalia, Artiodactyla, Bovidae. The transcript is spliced from 4 exons. The record is from RefSeq and is a predicted model, not a curated record.
GAGCUUAAAGGCGCCGCUGCUCCGCCGCCCCUCCCCACGGGGUCUGUGGACACGCGAGCGGUGCCCUAAGCCAGGAGACCAGCCCCCUGGCCUUCGCUCGGCCUCAGCGCUGCCGCUCAGAACCCACUAAAACUCUCCCAGAGGCCCAACCAAGACACUCCUGGGUCCUAUCCCGGAGCUCCCAGUUCUGUGCCUGUCCCAAGAGCUGUCCUCGGGGGACCCGCUCCAGGGAUCCUCUCCCCUACAUUCCCGCAGUCUCCCGGGGAUGGAGCGGAGGAAAGGGGCGAUCAAGCUGAGCCGAAGUCCUGUCGACUCCACUGAUUCAUGAACAACUCCCAGCGAGUUCAGCACACGGGAACUGAACACCUACUCCGUGCCAUUCCCUGGGCACCUAGGCUGUCACCGUUUCGGGCGGCUGCAAGUCCCAAAGAGGGCUCUGCGUUUGGAGACCCUGAGGGGUCGUCUCACUCCAGCAGGUCCGAGGAGGAAAGCAGGACUAGGCAGCUGCGAAGGCGGGACGCACCACGCAGAGCGCCAAUCGCAGCCGAAGGAGCGAGGCAGAGGGAAGGCGGGGCCCGCCAAAGGUUCCACCCAGCGCGGGCUGGGAGGGGCCUCAGCGGCACUGGCUGCGGGUGGCAGGCUGGCUGGCUCCGCGGAGGUGAAUGGAGCCGCAGGUAGCCCUGGAACAAAGCGGCUCCACUAGCGCGGCGCGCGUGCGCGGGGCCUGCCGCGCUUCCCCUACGGAGUCAGGGCUGUCUGCGCUGGGGAGUCGGUCCCUGGCUGAUCCUGCAGUCCGUCCGGUCCGUUCCCUGCCCGGCGGAGUGCGCCCACAUCCUUGGGGCUUACCCCCUCCCACUCUGCCCGAGGCUGGGCGGCUCCCCGCCACCCUGCCUCUACAUCCUGGAGGGAAUCAGGGUCAGAGAUGAAUGGCGGCGGUGCCUGAGAUUUGCCAGAGUGCGUGCCUCUGGAACCGGCAGGAGUUGAGCUUUCUGACCAGCUUGGCUGACUCUGGCUGCUAUGCUGAGAACAGAUGGAGUGGGCCAAUGGCAGAAGCAGGCCAGGCAGGAAAGGAGCAAGCCUCAUCGCAGCAGGGGGCCUGGUUCAAUGCCUGGUUGGAGAACUAGAUCCUGCAUGCUGCAACUAGAAGACCCUGUAUGCCACAAGGAAGACCCGGUGCAGCCAAAUAAAUAAAUACUAGAAAAGAACGAAAUGAUGCUGUGUGCAGCGACGUGGACGCAACUAGAGAUUAUCCUACUAUGUGAACAAGUCAGAGAAAGACAAAUACCACGGGACGUCACUUCUGUGUGGAAUCUACAAUAUGACGAACUCAUCUAUCAAACAGAACCAUGAACAUACAGAACCAAGCGGUGGUUGCCAAGGGGGAAGGGGCUGGGGUUAGCAGAUAUAAGCUUUUGUAUAUAGAAUCGAUAAACAACAACAUCUUACUGUAGCACACAGAAUUAUAUUCACUAUCCCUUGAUAAACCACAAUGGAA